AACGAACGCUGGCGGCAGGCUUAACACAUGCAAGUCGAACGCUGUGGCAACACAGAGUGGCAGACGGGUGAGUAACACGUGGGAACGUACCCUUCGGUUCGGAAUAACACAGGGAAACUUGUGCUAAUACCGGAUACGUCCGUAAGGAGAAAGGUUUACCGCCGAAGGAUCGGCCCGCGUCUGAUUAGCUAGUUGGUGAGGUAACGGCUCACCAAGGCGACGAUCAGUAGCUGGUCUGAGAGGAUGAUCAGCCACAUUGGGACUGAGACACGGCCCA
RNAcentral lists this ribosomal RNA (277 nucleotides) under uncultured bacterium. RNAcentral's name for it is "partial 16S ribosomal RNA". It matches the Rfam family "Bacterial small subunit ribosomal RNA", at positions 29 to 333 of the family's 1533-position model. The record is from RNAcentral.